AAUAUUGCUGGACAGUAGCAGUUUGUUUCUAGCAGAUGUGCUUACAUCCAAAGUUGUAUUACAAUGGUUUCACUUUGCAGACAUUUCCUGUUUUAUCUUCCUUUUGUGUGUAUGUAUUGUGCUGUUGAGAGUAUUUGAAUCUUUGUUAGAUUGCAGGACAUUAAGAGUAUAAAAGUGGGAGCAAAGAAGAUGUUGACACAGGUAGUCCACUUCAUUUAUCAGACUCUGGUUGUGAGAGCUACACAGAUGUUAAAGGAGAUAGAGGCCCUGUAUGCGGAGGAGGUGGGGUGUUUGUUGGAGAGGAAGACAUCUCUGAACAGGUUGGGAGGCUGUCAGGACUACAUAUCAGUUUUUAUUGACAAGGUCCUACGCACAGAGGGCCACUGCCUCCUGGGCUACACAAAAAGAAUUGAGACCCAAGUGAAAAAGCUUCUAUCCCAGAAGGCAUGCACCCCUGAGACCAUGAUUGAACUGCAUAUUCAGAUUCAGAAUGAACUCUGUCAGCACAUCAUGAAAUGUGGAUUUUUGAGGAUUAGAAGGGUUCUUGUUCCAUUCACCUCUCAGAGAACUGGUUCCACUCAGUUAGAGUCUGAGUCUGUGAAAAGCUCAAAUCAAAAUCCCUGUGCCUCCUCUCAGACUGUGCAAAUGGACCAGGCCCUUCCUAGUCUGCCUCAUCCAUCUCAGCCCAGCCAGCCAUCUCAUUCUAACCAGGCCACAACCCGCUUUGCAUGUAACAAUGUUGCCUCAUCUCAACCGAAUCAAUCUGAACCUUCCUCUUCAGAUCAUCAAAGUUCAUUUUCUUCACCAUCUGUCCAAGUCCAGUACCAUGAAGUCAUGUCUGAGCAAACCAAGCAUGCUUACAGUCCCUCAUUGAACUGUGUCCCAUAUUUUCCCCAGUCUGCUCCUAAAACUCACAUGAAUUCUUCUCCGUCUGUUUAUUCUCAACCUCGUUUUCCACUCACAAACCUCACAGCAUCUCAAAUAAACAAUAUCUCUGAGUCAGCCAAAUGUAGGAAGGCCUGUUGCCCUACCAUGCAGGUCUCUCAUACACGCGUACUCACCCACCCAAUGCCAAUUCCAGUCAACAACCAAACACCCGUAACAACUCAUCCAGUGCCAGCCAACAACCAAACACCUGUAAUAACUUAUCCAAUGCCAGUGAACAACCAAAUACCCCUACUAACUCAUCAAAUACCAGUCAAUAACCAAACACCCCUACUAACUCAUCAAAUGCCAGUCAAUAAGCAAAGACAGCCAAUUUCAGUCAACAACCAGACACCUAUAACAAUUCAUCCAAUACCAGCCAACAGCCAAACACUUGGACUAACUCAUAUAUUGCCCGCCAACAGCCAGACACCCCUACUAACUCAUCGAAUGCCACUCAACAACCAAACACCUGUACCAACUCAUACAAUGCCCAUCAAUAACCAAACACUCGUACCAACUCAUCCAAUACCAGCCAACAACCAAACACUUGGACCGACUCAUCCAAUACCAGCGAACAACCAAACACCUGUACUAACUCAUACAAUGCCCAUCAACAACCAAACACUUGUACCAACUCAUCCAAUACCAGCCAACAACCAAACACCUGUACUAACUCGUACAAUGCCCAUCAUCUACCAAACACUCGUACCAACUCAUCCAAUACCAGCCAACAACCAAACACCUGUACUAACUCAUAUAAUGCCCAUCAACAACCAAACACUCAUACCAACUCAACCAAUAACAGCCAACAACCAAACACCUGUACUAACUCAUAUAAUGCCCAUCAACAACCAAACACUCGUACCAACUCAUCCAAUACCAGCCAACAACCAAACACUCGCAGCAACUCAUCCAAUACCAGCCAACAACCAAACACCUGUACUAACUCAUACAAUGCCCAUCAACAAUCAAACACUCGUACCAACUCAUCCAAUGCCAGCCAACAACCAAACACCCCUACUAACUCAUCAAAUGCCAGUCAAUAACCAAAAACAACCAAUUUCAGUCAACAACCAAACACCCGUAACAACUCAUCAAAUACCAGCCAACAACCAACCACCUGAACUAAUUGAAUCAAUACCAGCCAACAACCAAAUACCUGUAUUAAUUCAACCAAUUCCAGUCAACAACCAAACACCCAUACUAACCCCUCCAAUACCAGCCAACAACCAAACACCCGUAUUAAUCCAACCAAUACCAGCCAACAACCAAUCAACCUUACUUACUCAUUCUAUACCAACGUACAACCACGCACUCAUGCUGACCCAUCCAGUACAAACCAAUUUCCUGGUGCCCGGACUUUCUUUCUCUGUGCAACCCACUAUUCCCUUAACUGUCCUUUCAACAAUAAACACACUUUCUUUAAAUUAUGCUACUGCAAUCUCUAAUGUCCUUCCUGUAAACCCAAUGCCUUCUACUCCCAUUGAUGGCAACAACACCCUUCGGUGUAAGAGAGGCACCUACAAUAGCCAGAACCUCCCAGUCAAGGCCUUGACUGAUUCCGCCUGUGAUCAGGAUGCAGGUGUGAGCAGCACGGAUUUUACUGAUACAGACCAUCUGGAGAGCAACUUGCCCACCUCCCUUGUGUUGGGAGCAGCUCCCAAAGAACCUUCACUAGAUCCUGGCCGCUCCUCUGGACCAUCCAACAUUCACCAGGACUCUCUCUCCACCACCACCACCACAGAGAAAUGUUCAAGUCAAGCUCAAGACUGUCAGUCAUCCAACAAGAACAACUCUGGACCAAAACACUGGAGCAUUGGCAUGCCGAUAACUUUCCGUCAGCUUGUAGAGGCAACAUGCAUACCUUUCAGGUCAGACAAUCUGAACACAACACCUCCAGUGGAUUCAACUCCUUGUAGCACAUCAGAAGACCUUGAUGGGGAGAGGACGACUCAUGACAAGACUGUCCAAAGUAAUUUUGACUACAGGAAGGCAAAAAAAGAAGACAAAGAAUCUGCAGGUUAUUUUCUUCUCAAAAGAGUUCUCAAAAGAAUAGUGUUUGUUUUCCUCACUCAUUUCUUUUUUUCCUGUCUUUUAGUCACCCUGGAACACUUCAGGAGACAAAUCAAACAAUGC
Sinocyclocheilus grahami is the source of this 3063-nucleotide long non-coding RNA. NCBI's taxonomy places the organism in Eukaryota, Metazoa, Chordata, Actinopteri, Cypriniformes, Cyprinidae. The record is from Ensembl.